UACGUAGGGUGCAAGCGUUAUCCGGAAUUAUUGGGCGUAAAGAGCGUGUAGGCGGCCUGAAAGGUCAGCUGUGAAAACUCGAGGCUCAACCUCGAGACGUCGGUUGAAACCAUCUGGCUAGAGUCCGGAAGAGGAGUGUGGAAUUCCCGGUGUAGCGGUGAAAUGCGCAGAUAUCGGGAAGAACACCCGUGGCGAAGGCGGCACUCUGGGACGGUACUGACGCUGAGACGCGAAAAGCGUGGGGAGCAAACAGGG
RNAcentral lists this ribosomal RNA (255 nucleotides) under uncultured bacterium. RNAcentral describes it as "partial 16S ribosomal RNA". It matches the Rfam family "Bacterial small subunit ribosomal RNA", at positions 524 to 777 of the family's 1533-position model. The record is from RNAcentral.